This is a non-coding RNA of Cyanistes caeruleus (blue tit), 3237 nucleotides long. NCBI's taxonomy places the organism in Eukaryota, Metazoa, Chordata, Aves, Passeriformes, Paridae. The record is from RefSeq and is a predicted model, not a curated record.
ACUGGUGGCAGCUCUUCCCCUCAGGCGGCCUGCAGGGUCCUGCCAGUGCUGCCACCCCGGGCCCGGCCCCUCUGGGCCUGGCAGGCCCUUAUUGCCACCAAUGGAUUCCACCCUGAGCGCCCAGGCCUAAAGAGUGAAUAUCUGAAGAGUGAUAAAGGUGAUCAGGCUUCUGGAGCAGCUUCCAUAUGAUGAAGGAAAUUUGACAAUCUUCAGCCUGGAGUAGAAUCAACUGACGGAGAAUUUGAUAGAGAUCUACAGGACUGGAAAUGACAUGAAAAAGGUGCUUGUUCAGCUGCUUGUUCCAGCCUGUAGAAGAACCUGAACACAAAUUGGCAGAAUCUAUGCAGCAAGGCUCUGAAAAUCAUCUCCAGUGAUCCAGAAAGCCUCGUAGCAAGCAGAAGAAGUCCUGCUCCUUGUCACUGUGAUUAUGGAGAUGCAGGAAGCAGCAUUUGUUCAUCUUUCAUGCCAGACUUUCAAACUCUGCAAUGUGACUGAAUGAUGCAAUAAGUGCAGAUACCGACUCUCAUGAAUGAACAGGCUCCUGGUCUCUCCCAGCACCACCUGUAGCCAUUAGAGGAAGGAGCUCCUGUGGAAAAUAACUGCCAGAACCUGCAAGAGGAUCCUUUUCUGCAGCAUCUUCAAGAGGAUCUUUUUCUCCACUCACUUCAGUCCAGAAAUCAACUGACCCAGCCAGAUGCACAAAGUUGUGCUCUGUGAAGACUCUGUUCAUAUUUUAUGGUAGUUGGACCUCAAAACUGUUGUUCAGUGAACUUUCCUCAGAAAAGAUACUGACACAAAUGUCAUUUAAAACUUAACAUGGAGAUACUUUAUGAAUGUCUGUGUUGAACAGAGCCCAGGCAGAAUUUCUCCCUUUGUGUUUGUGUGAAACAGGAAUCUGAAUUCAGUCACGUCUACACUUUGGGCUUGUAGAAAUUAGCACAAGGAAUAAUCCCAUGUUAUGGAGUAAUUUUUGAUGUUCCCUGUAAUUAAAAUAGUUCUGCAUUGCAUUCAGGCAAAAACUACUCUUUGGCAGUGUGAUGAAACAUUAGAGAAUUCUCCUCAAAUUAGUUACAGAAAUUGAAUGACAGGACAAAUUAAGAGGAGGCAGGAGGGGGUGAAAUAUUUUAUUUUUAAAAUACUCCAUAAAGACAAACAUGCAGUAAAUUAGCAAGUGUGCCUUCUCAGUUAUUCAUGGAAACAUGUUUGGAAAAAAACCAUGGGGUUGGUUUGUUUAUUAUUUGGCAGAAUUUUCCAGUGUUUUGUCAGCUUCCCACAGGCUGCUGUGCAUGGAGCUCCUUGGGAGGAUCUCCAGAAGGGUUUGAGGAAGCCUUCAGAAAUGAUGGACCAGCCAUGGAGGAGAAUGACAGAGCAAAGAGCUCAAAGCUGAGCAGCUCUUCUGCAAACCUCUCCACACCAGAGGCAUCACUUCAAGCAGCCACAUGUAUGGAGGGGGAGAAAAUGACAGAGAUCCAUGAUUCUCUCUUCAUACUGUCCUGGAUACUUCAAAAGCUGCACUAAAAAGUAUAAGCCAAACUUCCUCUGCAUUUACAGCAGAUCACUUUGAGGCAUCAGUACAACCAUAGUUACAGGAGGAGGGAGAAGGUUUCUGUGGCUUAGCACGAAGGUACUCAACUGGAUACUACCUUUGUCUUCUGUGGUGAUGAAUGUAAUAAAAUCAAAAGGCUGACAGUAAGAGCACACAGAGAGAAGCACGAGAGUUCUAAAAGCUGCUUUUGCAAGCCCAGAUGUGAAAGCGUGGUGCAUAAUCUCUCCUGUUAACUUCUGUUUCUCUAAUAAAGUUAUAGAGAAGUCUUCUGAUCAUCCAGCUAUGAAAAGCACCAUGACUGGUUCUGCCCAGAAGCUGCAUGAAUACAUGUGGAGCAGAAAAGUUGCUCUUUAUAGCCAGCUGUAAAAUUCUUUCAAGCCCUGUGAAUGUUCAAGCCUGAGAAGGCUUUUCUCACCAAGAUAUAGAAUAGCUUCAGCAUACCAGCCUUCAGCAGUGUGUAUAAGUCAAGAUUUCACUCCAAGCCUUUCACUCCACUUUAUUGGUGAAACUCAAAGUCAGUCAGCCCAUUUCAAGAAGAAAAAUGGCAUUUGGUUCCAGUAAGCAUCCACAGAACACACUCCAGAUUUGACAAACAUUGUAAUUAGUUGCUUUUGUGUGUUUAGUACACAGUGCAAAUGCUGUAAAAUGUUUUUCACAUGAUGCAACAUUGCCAGCAGAUAAUCACUGGAGCAGUAAACCAAAAGAAUUUGUGUAUAUCCUACAAGCUGCAAGAGGAUAAGAAAAUGUAAACAAAAACUAACAGCUGAAUUUUUCAGAUGAUACCAUUCCUUUUCUUUUGUUAAAUGGAUUUGUUUUUAAAUGUUACUUUUUGUCAGUUUCUCUAGAAAUUGAUUAGAAAACCCUAAACCAAUGUUGUGAAAAUGCUUUUGUUUCUGUUCUAGUUUUGAUUGUGUGAAUCUUUUUAGAACAUUUUCAGUUUAAUUAUGCAGCACUAAAAAUUGCAAUUAAACUGAAUUUGCAAUUGAAACUGCUCAUUUUAGUUAACUGUCAAAUUUACUAUGGGCGUUGUGAAAUAAGAGGCCUUUAUUAUUAUGAGGCGUUUUGAAAAAAAUUACCUUUUAAACAGGAGAAAAAUGUCAUGUCCCUCAGUCCUAUGUGAAUGAGCCAAUGGUUUAAAGAGCUACCUGAGCAGUGAAGCUGCUAACUCUCUAAGCACAAUGGAGUUUCUUCCAGGUGAUGUACUAAAAUAUUGCUAAACUGCAAGUAUGGACAGUAUUGAAUAAAGUCUUCUUUUUGUGUAUUUAGCAUCUUUUGUGAAAUGCAUUUUUCAAAGGUAGGUGGAAGGCUAAAGUUGCUUUAAAGUAGUCUAGUGAUAAUCUACUUGUCUUAGGGAUAUCUGACAUGCCCUGUUUUGCUGGAUGCUAUGAUGCAAUUUGAUGGAUAUUGUGUAUUAUAUGAGACUGUACAAAUCUUAAUAUCUCUGUUCCUCUGUUUUAGCAUGUGAUGUACAGCUCUGUGUACAUAGAGCAGCUCAGAUGAGUGUCUGAGACUACCCUUUUCCUCUAAGCCCUAGGCAUUUUUAUCACUGUGCCAAUAAAAGGAAGGGGAUUUAUGGGGUACUGCUUUUUAAUUCAUUCAAUUCUCUGUUCAUUGUGAGGUUAAUGUUGUUGAUCUAUUUUUCUCUUGAAACAAAUAAAAACAAUAUGUGCUGACACUGACUUUGACUUUUG